This 468-nucleotide ribosomal RNA is filed under the name uncultured bacterium. RNAcentral's name for it is "partial 16S ribosomal RNA". It matches the Rfam family "Bacterial small subunit ribosomal RNA", at positions 28 to 507 of the family's 1533-position model. The record is from RNAcentral.
GACGAACGCUGGCGGCGUGCUUAACACAUGCAAGUCGAACGGAAAGGCCCUGCUUUUGUGGGGUGCUCGAGUGGCGCACGGGUGAGUAACACGUGAGUAACCUGCCCUUGUCUUUGGGAUAACUUCAGGAAACUGGGGCUCAUACCGGAUAGGAGCUCCUGCUGCAUGGUGGGGGUUGGAAAGUUUCGGCGGUUGGGGAUGGACUCGCGGCUUAUGAGCUUGUUGGUGGGGUAGUGGCUUACAAAGGCUUUGACGGGUAGCCGGCAUGAGAGGGUGACCGGCGACCUGGCGACUGAGGUAGGGACCAGACGGGUACGGGAGGCAGCAGGGGGGAAUAUUGCACAACGGGCGGAAGUCUGAUGCGGCAACGCCGCGUGCGGGAUGCUGGCUUUCGGGUGGUAAACCGAUGUCGAAGGUGACGAAGCGUGAGUGACGGUAAUGGGUAAAGAAGCACCGGCUAACUACGUG